Molecule: long non-coding RNA, 745 nt
Organism: Panicum virgatum (switchgrass)
Lineage: Eukaryota; Viridiplantae; Streptophyta; Magnoliopsida; Poales; Poaceae
Exons: 2
Source: RefSeq, a predicted model, not a curated record
AAUCCUUAUCUCUUUCCCCACCACUCUCUCUGUCUCUCACUCUCACUCUCUCUCCCCCGCCAUCCCUUCCGCUUCUCUCUGUCUCUCCCGCAGCGAGGAUGGCACGAGCACGCGGGCACGGGGCGGAGUGGCGGCGGCAGCGAGCGGAGCUGGGCACCGGGCACUAGCACCAGCAGGAGCGGAGCUGGCUGCUGGGCAGGCAGGACGCCGGCGCAUGGUGCCGCCGGGGGGCCGCUUGUGCAGGGGCCCGUCGGCCUAGCUGCGGUCGCCGCCGGCGUGUUGGGGCGCGGCCUCCCGGCGUUGGAGCGGGCCACCUCAGCAGCGAAGGGCGCAGGAGCCCGGCCUCGCGGCGUUGGAGUGGGGGCUGGGCCACCCCAGGCCCCGGCUGCGGAGCACGCAAGAAAAGCUUGGACAGAGAUCGUGGAUUGUGCAUCCAGUGCAACCACUGCUAUAUAUGUGUCUUGAUGCCUCUUGUGAGCAACUGAGCAUGAAUCAACAGAGUCAGCCAAGAAGCAACAGAAGAGGAAGAUGGCCUUCUCUGAAUUGGAUAUUAUGGAUAAAGAAUCUGUUUAUGCUGAAUGGCAGAGAGAAAUGAAAUUUUGUGAGCGUUUUGUGAUUCUUGUGUAGUCUUGUAAAAUAAAAUCCUGUAAUUGUUGUGUAAUCUUGUGAUCCUUGUGACUUGUCAAAUGAAUUCUUGAUUCUUGUGUAAUGAAAUCUUGUGAUUGAUUGUUGUGACUCUUGUAAA